GAUGAACGCUGGCGGCGUGCCUAAUACAUGCAAGUCGAGCGAACAGACGAGGAGCUUGCUCCUUUGAUGUUAGCGGCGGACGGGUGAGUAACACGUGGGUAACCUACCUAUAAGACUGGGAUAACUUCGGGAAACCGGAGCUAAUACCGGAUAAUAUUUCGAACCGCAUGGUUCGAUAGUGAAAGAUGGCUUUGCUAUCACUUAUAGAUGGACCUGCGCCGUAUUAGCUAGUUGGUAAGGUAACGGCUUACCAAGGCAACGAUACGUAGCCGACCUGAGAGGGUGAUCGGCCACACUGGAACUGAGACACGGUCCAGACUCCUACGGGAGGCAGCAGUAGGGAAUCUUCCGCAAUGGGCGAAAGCCUGACGGAGCAACGCCGCGUGAGUGAUGAAGGUCUUCGGAUCGUAAAACUCUGUUAUUAGGGAAGAACAAACGUGUAAGUAACUGUGCACGUCUUGACGGUACCUAAUCAGAAAGCCACGGCUAACUACGUGCCAGCAGCCGCGGUAAUACGUAGGUGGCAAGCGUUAUCCGGAAUUAUUGGGCGCAAAGCGCGCGUAGGCGGUUUUUUAAGUCUGAUGUGAAAGCCCACGGCUCAACCGUGGAGGGUCAUUGGAAACUGGAAAACUUGAGUGCAGAAGAGGAAAGUGGAAUUCCAUGUGUAGCGGUGAAAUGCGCAGAGAUAUGGAGGAACACCAGUGGCGAAGGCGACUUUCUGGUCUGUAACUGACGCUGAUGUGCGAAAGCGUGGGGAUCAAACAGGAUUAGAUACCCUGGUAAUCCACGCCGUAAACGAUGAGUGCUAAGUGUUAGGGGGUUUCCGCCCCUUAGUGCUGCAGCUAACGCAUUAAGCACUCCGCCUGGGGAGUACGACCGCAAGGUUGAAACUCAAAGGAAUUGACGGGGACCCGCACAAGCGGUGGAGCAUGUGGUUUAAUUCGAAGCAACGCGAAGAACCUUACCAAAUCUUGACAUCCUUUGACCCUUCUAGAGAUAGAAGUUUCCCCUUCGGGGGACAAAGUGACAGGUGGUGCAUGGUUGUCGUCAGCUCGUGUCGUGAGAUGCUGGGUUAAGUCCCGCAACGAGCGCAACCCUUAAGCUUAGUUGCCAUCAUUAAGUUGGGCACUCUAAGUUGACUGCCGGUGACAAACCGGAGGAAGGUGGGGAUGACGUCAAAUCAUCAUGCCCCUUAUGAUUUGGGCUACACACGUGCUACAAUGGACAAUACAAAGGGCAGCGAAACCGCGAGGUCAAGCAAAUCCCAUAAAGUUGUUCUCAGUUCGGAUUGUAGUCUGCAACUCGACUACAUGAAGCUGGAAUCGCUAGUAAUCGUAGAUCAGCAUGCUACGGUGAAUACGUUCCCGGGUCU
RNAcentral lists this ribosomal RNA (1372 nucleotides) under uncultured bacterium. RNAcentral's name for it is "bacterial SSU rRNA". It matches the Rfam family "Bacterial small subunit ribosomal RNA", at positions 28 to 1381 of the family's 1533-position model. The record is from RNAcentral.